This 325-nucleotide ribosomal RNA is filed under the name Cladosporium cladosporioides. Its description in RNAcentral is "partial large subunit ribosomal RNA". It matches the Rfam family "Eukaryotic large subunit ribosomal RNA", at positions 326 to 674 of the family's 3401-position model. Lineage: Eukaryota; Fungi; Ascomycota; Dothideomycetes; Cladosporiales; Cladosporiaceae. The record is from RNAcentral.
GCCAGAGACCGAUAGCGCACAAGUAGAGUGAUCGAAAGAUGAAAAGCACUUUGGAAAGAGAGUUAAAAAGCACGUGAAAUUGUUAAAAGGGAAGGGAUUGCAACCAGACUUGCUCGCGGUGUUCCGCCGGUCUUCUGACCGGUCUACUCGCCGCGUUGCAGGCCAGCAUCGUCUGGUGCCGCUGGAUAAGACUUGAGGAAUGUAGCUCCCUCGGGAGUGUUAUAGCCUCUUGUGAUGCAGCGAGCGCCGGGCGAGGUCCGCGCUUCGGCUAGGAUGCUGGCGUAAUGGUUGUAAUCCGCCCGUCUUGAAACACGGACCAAGGAGU